Molecule: ribosomal RNA, 372 nt
Filed under: uncultured bacterium
Lineage: Bacteria
Description: bacterial SSU rRNA
Rfam family: Bacterial small subunit ribosomal RNA
Source: RNAcentral
GUAGGGGGCGAGCGUUGUCCGAAUUUACUGGGCGUAAAGCGCGCGUAGGCGGUUUCUUAAGUCUGGGGUGAAAGGUUCAACGCUCAACGUGAACAGUGCCUUGGAUACUGGGAGACUUGAGUCUGGGAGGGGGUAGUGGAAUUCCUGGUGUAGCGGUGAAAUGCGUAGAUAUCAGGAGGAACACCGGUGGCGAAGGCGGCUACCUGGCCUAAGACUGACGCUGAGGUGCGAAAGCGUGGGGAGCGAACGGGAUUAGAUACCCCGGUAGUCCACGCCGUAAACGAUGAGUGCUAGGUGUAGGGGGUAUCGACCCCCCCUGUGCCGUCGCUAACGCAUUAAGCACUCCGCCUGGGGAGUACGGCCGCAAGGUUG